This 510-nucleotide ribosomal RNA is filed under the name uncultured Diversispora. RNAcentral's name for it is "SSU rRNA". It matches the Rfam family "Eukaryotic small subunit ribosomal RNA", at positions 569 to 1081 of the family's 1831-position model. The record is from RNAcentral. Lineage: Eukaryota; Fungi; Glomeromycota; Glomeromycetes; Diversisporales; Diversisporaceae.
AGCAGCCGCGGUAAUUCCAGCUCCAAUAGCGUAUAUUAAAGUUGUUGCAGUUAAAAAGCUCGUAGUUGAACUUCGGGGUCUACCCAUUGGUCAGGCUUAAUUGUCUGCACUGGUGAGAUGGAUCUCUACCUUCUGAGGAACUUUCAUGCCAUUUAUUUGGUGUGGUUGGAAAUCAGGACUGUUACUUUGAAAAAAUUAGAGUGUUUAAAGCAGACUAUCGUCUGAAUACAUUAGCAUGGAAUAAUGAAAUAGGACGGACUGACUCUAUUUCGUGGUUCUAGGAUCACCGUAAUGAUUAAUAGGGAUAGUUGGGGGCAUUAGUAUUCAAUUGUCAGAGGUGAAAUUCUUGGAUUUAUUGAAGACUAACUACUGCGAAAGCAUUUGCCAAGGAUGUUUCAUUAAUCAAGAACGAAAGUUAGGGGAUCGAAGACGAUCAGAUACCGUCGUAGUCUUAACCAUAAACUAUGCCGACUAGGGAUCGGACGAAGUUAAUUUUAUAAUGACGCGUUC